GCGAAAGUGGCGGAACUGGUAGACGCCCUGGAUUUAGGAUCCAGUGCCUUUGGCGUGGGGGUUCAAUUCCCCCCUUUCGCACCA
This 84-nucleotide transfer RNA is filed under the name Desulfovibrio sp. RNAcentral's name for it is "tRNA-Leu". It matches the Rfam family "tRNA". From Rfam's summary of the family: Transfer RNA (tRNA) molecules are approximately 80 nucleotides in length. Their secondary structure includes four short double-helical elements and three loops (D, anti-codon, and T loops). Further hydrogen bonds mediate the characteristic L-shaped molecular structure. tRNAs have two regions of fundamental functional importance: the anti-codon, which is responsible for specific mRNA codon recognition, and the 3' end, to which the tRNAs corresponding amino acid is attached (by aminoacyl-tRNA synthetases). tRNAs cope with the degeneracy of the genetic code in two manners: having more than one tRNA (with a specific anti-codon) for a particular amino acid; and 'wobble' base-pairing, i.e. permitting non-standard base-pairing at the 3rd anti-codon position. The record is from RNAcentral. Lineage: Bacteria; Pseudomonadati; Thermodesulfobacteriota; Desulfovibrionia; Desulfovibrionales; Desulfovibrionaceae. RNAcentral also lists the same sequence under 1 other name.